RNAcentral lists this transfer RNA (71 nucleotides) under Clavibacter sp. Its description in RNAcentral is "tRNA-Cys". It matches the Rfam family "tRNA". Rfam says of the family: Transfer RNA (tRNA) molecules are approximately 80 nucleotides in length. Their secondary structure includes four short double-helical elements and three loops (D, anti-codon, and T loops). Further hydrogen bonds mediate the characteristic L-shaped molecular structure. tRNAs have two regions of fundamental functional importance: the anti-codon, which is responsible for specific mRNA codon recognition, and the 3' end, to which the tRNAs corresponding amino acid is attached (by aminoacyl-tRNA synthetases). tRNAs cope with the degeneracy of the genetic code in two manners: having more than one tRNA (with a specific anti-codon) for a particular amino acid; and 'wobble' base-pairing, i.e. permitting non-standard base-pairing at the 3rd anti-codon position. The record is from RNAcentral. Lineage: Bacteria; Bacillati; Actinomycetota; Actinomycetes; Micrococcales; Microbacteriaceae.
GUCCGCGUCGCCAAGUGGUAAGGCUAAGGUCUGCAAAACCUUCAUCGCGAGUUCGAUUCUCGCCGUGGACU